Manis javanica (Malayan pangolin) is the source of this 2887-nucleotide non-coding RNA. The record is from RefSeq and is a predicted model, not a curated record. Lineage: Eukaryota; Metazoa; Chordata; Mammalia; Pholidota; Manidae.
GCGGCGGCGGCGGCGGCGGCGGCAACGGCCGGGACGAAGCGGCGGCGGCGGCGGCGGCGGCGGCGCGGGGCGCUCGGGCUGAUGGCGGCGGUGGCCGGCCCCGGGACGGCGCAGUCCCCGCGGCCGUGCGACAGCGACCCGGCCACCCCCGGAGCGCCGUCCCCGAAGGAUGAUCAUGAGGAGAAUUCAAACGAUGGGACCCAGCCAUGCAAGAGGAGACGCAUGGGCUCAGGAGACAGUUCCCGCAGCUGCGAGGCUUCGAGUCAGGACCUCGGCUUUAGCUACUAUCCAGCAGAAAAUUUGAUAGAAUACAAAUGGCCACCUGAUGAAACAGGAGAAUACUAUAUGCUUCAAGAACAAGUCAGUGAAUAUUUGGGUGUGACCUCCUUUAAACGGAAAUAUCCAGAUUUAGAGCGACGAGAUUUGUCUCAUAAGGAGAAACUCUACCUGAGAGAGCUAAAUGUCAUUACAGAAACUCAGUGCACUCUAGGUUUAACAGCAUUGCGCAGUGAUGAAGUGAUUGAUUUAAUGAUAAAAGAAUAUCCAGCCAAACAUGCUGAGUAUUCUGUUAUUCUACAAGAGAAAGAACGCCAGCGAAUUACAGAUCAUUAUAAAGAGUAUUCUCAAAUGCACCAACAGAGUACUCAGAAAGUUGAAGCCAGCAGAGUGCCUGAGUACAUCAAGAAAGCUGCCAAAAAAGCAGCUGAAUUUAACAGCAACUUAAACCGGGAACGUAUGGAAGAAAGGAGAGCUUACUUUGACCUACAGACACAUGUCGUCCAGGUGCCUCAAGGGAAGCACACGGUGCUGGCGACCGAGCGCACCAAGGCCAGCCCCUAUCCUGUGGCCCUCAUCCCUGGACAGUUCCAGGAGUAUUACAAAAGGUACUCACCAGAUGAACUGCGGUACUUGCCAUUAAACACAGCACUUUAUGAGCCGCCCCUGGACCCUGAACUCCCCGCCCUGGACAGUGAUGGUGAUUCAGAUGAUGCCGAGGAUGGUGCCGGUGACGAGAAACGGAAGAAUAAAGGUGCCUCGGAUAGCUCGUCUGGUAACGUGUCUGAGGGGGAAGGCCCUCCCGACAGCCAGGAGGAGCCUGUCCAGGGAAGACAGAGAUGCAGGGACAAAGCUGCUACUCCCAGAAAAGAUGCUUCCAAACGCUCUGUACUGUCCAAGUCAGCUCCUGGGUACAAGGUAGAAGAAAAAAGCCCCUGACCAGCCUCCUUCCUGACGUUUUAGCUUUGAAUUCAGAGUUGUGGAGCUCCUGCUGUGCCCGCGAGCUGUUCUGGGGGGUGCCCUCUGUCAGCUUCUGCUUCCUGCUUCAUUUUCCUGGUGGCUUUCUUCUCCCUCUGGCUGUGGUGUAGCUCUGUUUUCUGCAUAUGUACAGUUUACAAGACAAUCUUUUUUUGUCUUUUAAAUGAUAACCAGGCAAGUAUGGGCUUUAAAAAAUUAUUUCAUAGACAGAACUUUAUAGUUUGCUUUCUUGGAGUAAAGAUCAUAAUUGUCUGAUGUUUUAAAUGUGCUAGUAUUUAGUAGAGCUGCACAUGUGAGCUGUGAAGUGUAGGCGGGCACCCUAAUAGACCAAACCAUGUUUCUUUGGUGCCUUUCAUCAGGAGAGAGGGGAGUUCAAUCUGAGCGCUGUUUGAUCCAUGUGCCAAAUUCAGCUAACUCUGAUAGAAAAUUGUGAAACCUGUUACUUACAUUGUUGUGAUUUUUAGCCUAAGCUUGGCAAAUAAUCUAUAUAAUUCUGUGACAAGGAUUUAGACAUUUAGUGAGGUGCGUUGGCUUGGAUACACUGCUAGCUUUUUGACCUGGUUGUUCUCAGUAAGGCAGCUGUGACCAGCAAUGCUGUUGUGUUUAUUGCUUCCUCCUCCUCCUGGCCCCUUCCCCUUGAGGGCUGGGUGAGAGUCGAGUAGCCUUAUUUGCAUAUGGGGAUUUAGGAAUAUCAUAAAAGGAGUGGAAUUAACUGCAUAGUUUUAUGUUGCUGAUGGUUAUAGUAAAACAGUUCUUUGAUCUAGAAUGUAUCAAUAUGCCUUUUACUGUUGUUAUAAAGGUGGUUUGAAGGGAUGUGAUAGAGUCAGGUGGUCAGAAAGUUUUGCUGAGGGAUUUAUUGAAUACCUUGUUGCUUAUCAGGAUUGGAUUGUGGCAGAUAAUCCAGCAGAACAGGUUCCAGUGAGCUGCCAGUCUGCGCCCCUGCAGCGUAACCAGCACCCUUCUAGCAGUAGCUUACCUUUGUUUUAGUGAGGUAAAAAAGGUGACUUAGUAAAUUAGUGUACUCCAUAGGUAAUUAGAAAAUGCUUUCAACUUGAAUAUACAUGCGUUUUCAGCUUGUGGCAAGUAAACCUGACACUUUGUUCAGCAAGGGUUGGCUUCCGAGGAUGGCAUCAAGGCCGCAGCUAUGUGAUUUUUUUUUUUUACUUGUGUUUGCAUAAAUCAGUUGUCUAAUUUUUCAACUGAGGAUUUAAAUUAAGGCUUAAAUGUCAAAAGCAAAUGAACUCCAAAGAUGGAAUUUUGGCCAGUUAGCCUGGUGUGUGCUACAUAUGUUCUGGUCUGAUGAGAGCCUCGUAUGGGGAUGGUGGCUUGAAGCACAUGUCGGUCGGUGUUGAGGAGACCUUUCAGACGUCAGCCCGGGUUCAUCGGGUUCAUAGGAGAGCAUGCUGAAAUAGAGAUUUUUUAAUCAAGGCUGAAAAUAAAGAACUAUUCAGUGCUAUCAUUGAUUUAAUGUGGAAUAAAUCAAGGGAGUCUAAUAUGCAAAAUACACAUUUUAUAAUCUGUGAACAUUUUUGGUACCUAAAAAUGUUUCAGGUUUUCAGAGUUUGAAACAACCAGUAUCUAGACUUGGUACAUUAAUGUGAAUAUAUUUAUUCAAAGUUAACCUCUAUGAAAA